AGAACGAACGCUGGCGGCAGGCCUAACACAUGCAAGUCGAACGGGUAUCUUCGGAUACUAGUGGCGGACGGGUGAGUAACGCGUGGGAACGUACCCUUUGGUUCGGAAUAGCCUCGGGAAACUGGGAGUAAUACCGGAUACGGUCGAGAGACGAAAGAUUUAUCGCCGAAGGAUCGGCCCGCGUUGGAUUAGGUAGUUGGUGGGGUAAUGGCCUACCAAGCCGACGAUCCAUAGCUGGUUUGAGAGGAUGAUCAGCCACACUGGGACUGAGACACGGCCCAGACUCCUACGGGAGGCAGCAGUGGGGAAUCUUAGACAAUGGGGGAAACCCUGAUCUAGCCAUGCCGCGUGAUCGAUGAAGGCCUUAGGGUUGUAAAGAUCUUUCAGUGGGGAAGAUAAUGACGGUACCCACAGAAGAAGCCCCGGCUAACUCCGCGCCAGCCAGCCGC
Molecule: ribosomal RNA, 449 nt
Filed under: uncultured bacterium
Lineage: Bacteria
Description: SSU rRNA
Rfam family: Bacterial small subunit ribosomal RNA
Source: RNAcentral